Cyprinus carpio carpio is the source of this 1938-nucleotide long non-coding RNA. The record is from Ensembl. NCBI's taxonomy places the organism in Eukaryota, Metazoa, Chordata, Actinopteri, Cypriniformes, Cyprinidae.
AUGUCAAAAGCAGGACGCAUAGACAUGCUGACGAUCAUGGCCAUGCGCUGGAACCAACAAAAGUUUGACAACUUGGCUUCUACCCUUGCCCGCCGAUAUCGGAAGGCCACAAUAGCCCUGCAAUGCCAGUUGCAUAACCUGGAGGCCAUGAAAACGGAAAUGGACGUCUCAGACAAUCAACUGGAGAGGUGGAUCACUGAUAUCAAUGAGUGGGCAGAAGCAACAACAUCCCCAAAUGAUGCUGAUGUUGCCGCUGUUGCCAGCCGAAUUGAGGAGCUGGUGGCAAGUGUUAAGAGGAGGUCCCAGCGUCUUUACAAGGAUAGUGACGGAUGCAAAGGACGUGCCCGAAUCCGCCGAAAGAUCAGGGAGGAAAAAAAAAUCUUAAAUUCUGUAGUGGAAAAGUAUAACACCUUGGUUCCUAAUGCAGAAAAACUGACAUUGGACACCAUUCUAUCUGAUGAGAUUGUUUGGCGAUGGCAGCUUACACACGGUGGUAUGUACACAAUUCCAUUGUCACAUAGUGGGACAAAAUCUGUCAUGUCUCGAUUUUAACCCCUGAAAAUCUCUAAAUACUAAUCUCAAAUACAACUGACUUAUGUUUCAUCUAUGUAUUCCAGACUCUGUAGAUCUAAGGACAAAGAGGAAGGCGUUCGACAUUGUGAUGGCAGUAAGGAGACUUGAGGAGGAGAAGAGGAUUCUUAUUGCAGAGAUGAACAAGCAUUGGAAGUCUCUUUGCUCCCGUGCAGACACCCUGAAGCAGAUGUCAUCCCAGCUUUCUAAUGUGACAUCAGGUAUGUAUGUUAUACUUGGCAUACAUUACAAUAUUUCUGAAUUUUUCUAAUUAAUAAAGGCUCAAUAUGUUUUAACAUGUAAGGUGAGACGUGGGGCCUGCUUCAAGAUGGUAUCCGAGGUCUACAGAGCUUGACGAUGAAGAACAAGCAAGCAAGCAACAGCCUGGCAAAGCAUGCAAAGAAAUAUUAUGUUCAAGUUCUGACUGAAACAGAAAUUAACUUUGAUAGUGAUUCUGAGGAAUACCAUACCAAUAGUGACUCUGAGCAAGAUUAAACAUGGCCAGAGUCCUUUUUUAUGCUGUUGUGUGCUGGGGAGGCAGCAUUAAGAAGAGGGCCGCUGGGACAGGUUGGUAAGGAAAGCUGGCUCUGUGUUUGGCAUGGAGCUGGAGUUAAUCAUUUAACAAACUGAGGAUAAUUUGCAGUAGCAGUCUUCUGUCAUGCUCAACAUUGAGGAGGUCCUUUGUCCCCAGGGCAUACCAGCAACUCAAUGUCACAGAAAAGGUUAGGGGAGAAAUGGACUUUUCAGCAUGAGUCUCACCCUGCGCCAACCAUUACAUCGCUUUGUCUAUUGUCUAGUAUCCACUAUCCAUUUGACUGUCUUACAGGCUACAUUAGCCCCUCUACACAUUCUGGACUGUGGUUUCAACAUUUACCCCUGUUGGCUUGUAUAAUCUUUUCUCUUUUUAUAUAUAUAUAUAUUUAAGUUUCUGUUUUUCUAUCUAUUUUAACUUCCUUGUAUUGUUUUUGUUAAGCAAUACUAUUAUGCUCAGACUCUUUUUUCCAUAGUCAUAUUAAACAUGCACAGCUUUGCACUGAUUAAAUCCCUGCACUGUUUACUUUUGCACUACCACCACUGCAAAUCACUCUAUAGCUGCCCAUCAUGUAUCACAGGGUCAGUCCCUACCAGGCCUUUGUAAUCACUUGACAUGCUCUUCACUUUUUACAUUUGUGAUUUUUGUUAUGUGUCUGAGCUGUGUGUUGUUUUUGUGGUUGUAUAAGCUAAUAAAUGCCUAAAAUGUGGUGUGUCGUCUUAAGUAGCCUACAGUGUCUGUACUAGGGGGAAGAAGACAUUUCAUCAUGACAGUUUCCUCCAUCUCCUAGAGACAUCUUACAUGGAUACACAGAUAACAUUUAUUCACGAGAUCAU